This is a non-coding RNA of Zootoca vivipara (common lizard), 6550 nucleotides long. The record is from RefSeq and is a predicted model, not a curated record. Lineage: Eukaryota; Metazoa; Chordata; Lepidosauria; Squamata; Lacertidae.
GUUUCAAAACAUCUGGAGAGCCAAGGUUCCCUAUGCCUGAUCUAGUCCAACCCCCUGCAAUGCAGGAAUGUGCAGCAGUCCCAUAUGGGGAUUGAAUCUGCAAUGUUGGCGUCCUCACCAUGCUCUGAGCUUCAACGACAUGUUACAAGGAGUUCAAGGAUACAGUUCCAGCCAGGAAAAACACUAGGAGGGUGUGAAGUAAAGCCAGUGAUAGAUGUGGCUGUGGAGGUGUUGUGACCUGGGGAUGACCUCAAGGAGUAGAUAGAGAGGUCUGGAAGGCCACAUUUGACCCUCAGGCCUAGGGUUCCUCACCCCAACCCUGUGCCUGGCUUGACAACUCAGUCUCAGGCCAGUGCUAGGAUCACUUUUUUACUAUUGCACUGGCUUGGAGUACAUAGGCCUGAUCAUUUGAAACACAUGACUCCACAGAAGAUAAAUGAAUGAACAAAGUUUUAAUCCAAGCUCUAUUAUCUCCCAGAUGACAGGGGGUUCACAGUGGUGCGCAUGGUUCUUCAGUUCCCCAAUGUAUCCUCACAACAACCCUUUGGGGUAGGUCAGGCUGAGAGGCAGUGACUGGCCCAAGGUCACCCAGUGAGUUUCAUGGUGGAGUGGGGAUUCGAACCCUGGUCUCCCAGGGCCUACUCCAACACUCCAACCACAGUGGCUCAUAAAAAACACAACACUGAGUAAAAUAGAAAAUUGCUCUUCAUCACUUGCAGUGUAAUCCGAUGCUUUUUUUUUUACUUAGAACAGAAGUAAAUUUCACUGUGUCCAACCCCGUAUAUUUCCUAGGAAGUGUGUUUAGGACUCUUGUCUCCUUGUGAAAAAUACGGUAUAUACUCAAGAACACAGUUACAAAACACCUUGCUGUAUUACUGGAAUGUUUAAGUCCAACAUGUGACCCACUUUUUAGCAAUGUACUUUCAGGAACUACAUUGAACUUUUUCUGCGGAUCUAGCUCAGUAAACAGGCCACCCUGAUCUCUGCUGAGCAGUAGUGAGAUUGCAGGGGUUUUGGCACUUAAGCAGGGUUUGUGUUCCCUGGGAAUGAGACAGGGUGGAGACCGUCGUGUCUUUAUGAAGUACAGUUUAGAAUCAUAGAGUUGGAAGAGACCACAAGGGCCAUCCAGUCCAACCCCCUGCCAAGCAGAAAACACCAUCAAAGCAUUCUUGACAUAUGCCUGUCAAGCCUCUGCUUAAAGACCUCCAAAGAAGGAGACUCCACCACACUCCUUGGCAGCAAAUUCCACUGCCGAACAGCUCUUACUGUCAGGAAAGUUCUUCCUAAUGUUUAGGUGGAAUCUUCUUUCUUGAAGUUUGAAUCCAUUGCUCCGUGUCCGCUUCUCUGGAGCAGCAGAAAACAAUAUUUCUCCCUCCUCCAUAUGACAUCCUUUCAUAAUAGAAGUUUAGUUUACACAUGUUUACAACCUGAGUUCUGAUGGAAGGAGUGCAGAACAUUACACCCUACCAGCGGGUCUGAUUACUUCUCUCAUUCCUUCAGCAAGCUUGGCUCCAAAGCAGCAGUCAGCCAGCUUCCCAAGUCUCUGCAUGCAGUCUCCUCCAGUGGAGUUCUGGCCCCUCCCUCCUUCCCCCAAAACCCUGCUUCAAAACCUGUUUUAAAAGGACACCUUUUUUUCUUUGUUGACAUCACACCCCAUUAACCCUAGCAACCUCCCCACUUCUUUUGUUUUUGUCCACUUCUUGUGGGCAGAGAAGUGAGCACCUCCGUGGCCUAUUCUUAUUUGGCUCUCUUUGUGUUUUUAAUGCCAUCACUAUCAGUGAUCUCCUGAACAGAAGAACUGGUCCAGCCUGUAUUUUUCACUGCCCUGGCAAAUACUAGCUAAAUUCUACCUUUUACUAAACUUAGAAUGUGGAGUCUGUGCCCCGCCCCAAAUUCCUAACAAUAUUAUAUACCUAUGCUACAUUUCCCAUUGCAAAACAGGCAGCGCGCCUUUGGUGGUCCUGAUCAAAAAAUAAAUGUUUUUAAUUACAUCUCUCAGGACUCUUUAUUCGACCAGAACUGAUUCCUCCUGCCUUUGGAUUUCAGUGGACGCGCCUACCUUUCAUCAGCAUCGGGGUGUAAAAAUAGGCAAUAUAGGGCAGGAACAAACUUCCUACGAAUCCGACCAGGUCUUAGUCACCCUCGUCACCUACUUCUCAGGUCCUCCUUUGUUUGCCAGCUCCUAGACUGACGGUAGCCCAUAUUUCUUAUCUAGUUGACGGAGAAACGCACACACAGCUGAUGCUUGUGGACAGGGAGUUGCCCCUCGAAAGCGACACACACUCGCCCAGCACCUGCUGCUUCUCUCAGCAGCGCCAUGGAGGAAACCUGGAGCCGCGCAGUGAAAGGCCUGACUGAUUUUAUGGGCUUUCUGAAUCGGAGUCCCAAAGAAGAAAGCAGCAGCCCGAAGGCGACGGCGGCAGCAGAGGCGGCGAACGCGGGGACUUUGCUACCAGACGAAGAGGAAUUUCAGCAUGCUGCUAAAACUAAUAAUCUGGACACAAUGGAAAGGCUGUUUAAGAAAAGAAUUAAUAUUAAUGCUGUAAAUAGUCUGAAGCGCACAGCACUCCAUUUUGCUGUUGCAGGAAAUCAUGUAUCUGCAGUAGACUUUCUCCUCCAUCACAAAGCCAGAGUUGAUGUAGCAGAUAAGCAUGGACUUACUGCAAUUCAUCUUGCUGCGUGGUCUGGAAAUCUGGACAUAAUGCUGAUGUUGAUUAAAGCAGGCGCUGAUCAAAAAGCUAAGAACAAGGAGGGAAUGAAUGUCCUGCACUUUGCAGCCCAGAACAAUAAUGUUAGAAUAGUGGAUUAUUUUAUCCAAGAUCUCCACUUGAUGGAUCUUAAUAAGCCUGAUGAGAAAGGUAGGAAGCCAUUCCUUCUUGGAGCUGAAAUGGGCCAUGUAGAAAUGACGAACGAGUUGAUUUCCCUUAACUUAUCUACCUCAGAAAAGGACAAUGAAGGAAACACUGCAUUGCACCUGGCUGCUAAAAAUGGUCACAGUGAGGUGGUAGAAGUUCUUCUUCAAGAGUGGAAAGAAAUAGAUGAGUUAAAUCAGAAUGGUGAAACCCCGUUUUACCUAGCUGUGGAAGGAGGCCACGAAGGGUGUGCCGAUCUGUUAUUGGAAGCUGGAAGUGACAUCAAUAUUUCCAAUAAACACAAUACCAGUGCAUUGCAAAUAGCAACCCAGAAUGGACAUACAGCUUUGGUCACAUUUCUUAUCAAUAAAAAUAUAGACCUGGGAGUGCAUCCUCAGCAAAAGAGUCCUCCACUCCAUUUGGCUAUCUUAAAAAAUAACCUACCUGUGGUAAAUAGUUUAAUAGAAGCUAACCAUGAUAUAAACUCGCUCGAUCAGAGACACCAGACACCUUUACACCUGGCAGCAGACCUUGGAAAUGUGGAAGUAAUUGAAAUGCUGCUAAAGGCAGGUUGUGACUUGAAAAUUGUGGACAAGCAAGGAAAAACUGCACUAGCUGUAGCUUCCAGGAGCAAUCAUGCCUUGAUUGUAGAUAUGAUUAUAAAAGCAGAAAGGUAUUACACCUGGAAACAGGUAAGAAAAAACUCUGGUUUAGUUAUCCUUUUGCUAACACAUAUUUAUCCAAUAAGUGAAACCAUUUCCCCAAAAGAUGUUUAUCUAAUGGCUUUGGAUUCCCAAACUCCAAGGUGGGCUUCCUUGUAAAGAGGCUAGAAAAUGCGAGAGAGAAAGUGGGCAUUUCUUGUUUUUAAUUCCAUUGCAUCUUUUGUUUAUGUCUUCACUGUUAUCCAACAGCAUGUUGAGUUAGAUGCUGAGCUCUCUUCCUGAACUUUCUUGGCAUCCUGAUGAACUCGGUGCUUCCCUUAUUCUUAAUGGACUGUAUGGGAAAUGGCGGCGGGGGGGGGAUCUAUAUGUUCUGCUUACCCAAAGAUCCUUUCCAUACAGCACAAUCUGGUGCAUGUUUACUUAAAAGUUAGUAGUGCCGUAUUUGUUGGGGUUUAUUCCCUUGUAAAUAUGUUUAAGAUUGCAGCUUUGGAGACUUUUUUCCUUUUCCAUCAGUCUACCUUCUGCUGUGGCUGGGUUUAAAGGGGGGGGGAGGUUUCCCCCCUUGGGGCAAUUAUUUGCAUACUCAUGCACCUUUUAUUGCCCAAAUUGCAUUAUGUUACAGUUCGAUUGUCUGAAUGGUUCAUUAAGGUGAGUACACACUCAUGUUUUGGCAUUGCCACAACACGUUUAGAAUGUUUGCGGUGGCAUUCUUGGCAGCGACUACAGUGAGCAUGGUGUUGUUGGCUGGCCACUAGGGUGAUGACUUUUUUACAACCUCAUUUCCCUGUAUCAUAAUUUGAUGAGCUUUAAUUAAAGAUUAGAUAAAAUCUUACUUUCAAAGAGAUUUGAUUAAAAAACCUCAUGCACAAAAUGAUUUUAAAAAAUUUAUUUACUGUAUCAGUUUUUUGACCAUUUUUGAAGUCACUGUAAGCAGAUAUAAAAUUGAACCCAAGCUUUAGAGUCACAUAUAUACAGCAUUAUAUAGGCCCAUCAAACACACAAGGAAGCUUUUUUUUAGCUGCAGUAACAGUAUAGACGAUGUUUUGCUACCUCUCCUGUAGGUUCUUUUUCCAGCAUGCCCGGCAGGGUCUGCUGGCUGAGUUUUGAGGUCCCAAAAAGGGGCUUUUACCUUGCGCAGGUGUGACAUUUGUAUACCCUAUGUUGCUAAGAACACUCCCCAUUGUGGAAUGUGGCGUUGUGUCCAAAUUUGAUACAAAAUAUAUAUAGAAUUGUUAAUACAAUUUUAUGAAAUGGUAAAACAGCAUACAAAAAAUUUAAAAAUGGUUUGUGCGUGACCUUUUUUAAUAUUUCAAUGGAAUAUACCUUGUUUUAGUCAUUAAUAAGCAAAAGUUCAUCCAUUUGUGCUACAGGACAUAAUUUUUGAGAGAAAAAUGAAAAAGUCACCACCCUACUGGCCACACAAUGAAAUUGUGAUUGGGCACUGUUGGUUUAUUUCAUGUCUGAGGCUAGCCACAUAAUAGGGAUUAUGUUCAACCCUCCCAUUGCCCCCGUGGAACCACGUGGGCCCAAUGAAAACAGUUUGGCCUGUAGCAAGCUCAGAGAUCCGGCAGGACAGAUCACAUGCCUCUUGGAAACUACAACUUCCAUGAUGCCACAGGACCUUGGAAAUGCUGUGAAUGAAUGGGCACAUUCAAGUCCUUAUGAAACAGAAGAAGAAGAUAGUGAUGAUAAUAAUAAUAAAUUUUAUUUAUACCCCGCCCUCCCCAGCCAAGGCCAGGCUCAGGGCCAUAGCUGUCAAGUUCUCCCUUUUUUUAAAAGGGAAAUUCCCUUAUGCUGAAUAGGCUUCCUCACGAGAAAAGGGAAAACUUGACAGCUAUGCUCAGGGCGGCUAACACUAGAUAUAAAACAACUGAUUAAAAUGCAACUUAAGAACAAGAUUAAUACAUUAAAAUGCAGCCUCAUACGGAAGGAAAAGGGAAAAUAGGGGAGGGAAUCAGGUUGGCUCCAGGCCAAAUGCCAGGCGGAACAGGCCCUGUCUUACAGGCCCUGCGGAAAGAAAACAGGUCCCGCAGGGCCGUGGUCUCAGGUGACAGUGCGUUCCACCAGGUCGGAGCCAGUAUUGAGAAGGCCCUGGUUCUAGUUGAGGCUAAUCUGAUUUCCUUCAGGCCCGGGACCUCUAAGGUGUUACUAUUUAUGGACCUUAAGGUCCUCCGUGGGGCAUACCGGGAGAGACGGUCCCCUACGUACGAGGGUCCUAGGCCGUAAAAUAUGAAGUAAAGCUCCAACUGGGAUACAGAUCCUAAAAAUCUGGGUAUUAUUGGCGUGCUCCUUUUUACAGAACUAGUGUGUUGCAGUGGCUAAAAUGUAGAUGUUGGCAACUCAUUCAGCCAUGAAAAUCACUGAUGUCCUUCAGCAAGGCACUGUCCCAUACCACACAGGGGAUGUUGAGGAUAAAAUCAAGCUGCCAAGCUCUGUGGCAGGACAUGAGAAAAAGAAAUGUGGGAAAUAAGCAAACAUAUUGAUUGAGGGGAAAGGAAUGCCAACAGAAUGCACACUUUUACUGCAGAAACAAAGAGCUUUCCAUUAUGGAGUUGGUGUACUUGAAGCUCUUGUUUUUUGUUCCAUUAAAUAAAACAGAGAAUGGAGGAAAGGGCAGGAAGGGAACACAAAGUACAGAUUCAGCUUAGAUUAGUUUGGAGUUAGCUGGCUUUUAUAAUGUGCCGCAAGGUUAAUUACAUGCAUAUUUAAGUGCAGGUCUUCACAGUUCUCUUCCAUAUGGGGAAACAAUCAGGAGGGCAGGAGAACAUUUCACAGCAAACAACUGCUGGUCAAGGGAAGCAGAGCAAUGUCUGGUAAAUCCAUAAUGGCAUCUGUUUAACAUCCAUUCAACAUAGGCAAGCUGGGAUUCUGUGUGCUCCAUCUCAGCCAAAUAUACAGAUGGGUUUGGAGCAUCUUCAAAGUGGUGGUGAUCCGCAAAAUGAUAUUCUGUCUUUUAAACAAGAUCACAGUGUGCAGACCAAACAGAUUCGCUCCUCCCUUUGGAAUCUUGCUUACAACCAGUUAAAAAUGCAUGAG